GGACCCGUGCGGAAACUGGAUAUCCGACGAGGCUUCGGACCUCGGGUUAAGGGUUCGAAUCCCUUCGGGUCCA
This 73-nucleotide transfer RNA is filed under the name Candidatus Aenigmatarchaeota archaeon. RNAcentral's name for it is "tRNA-Arg". It matches the Rfam family "tRNA". Rfam says of the family: Transfer RNA (tRNA) molecules are approximately 80 nucleotides in length. Their secondary structure includes four short double-helical elements and three loops (D, anti-codon, and T loops). Further hydrogen bonds mediate the characteristic L-shaped molecular structure. tRNAs have two regions of fundamental functional importance: the anti-codon, which is responsible for specific mRNA codon recognition, and the 3' end, to which the tRNAs corresponding amino acid is attached (by aminoacyl-tRNA synthetases). tRNAs cope with the degeneracy of the genetic code in two manners: having more than one tRNA (with a specific anti-codon) for a particular amino acid; and 'wobble' base-pairing, i.e. permitting non-standard base-pairing at the 3rd anti-codon position. The record is from RNAcentral. Lineage: Archaea; Nanobdellati; Candidatus Aenigmatarchaeota.